This 254-nucleotide ribosomal RNA is filed under the name uncultured bacterium. Its description in RNAcentral is "partial 16S ribosomal RNA". It matches the Rfam family "Bacterial small subunit ribosomal RNA", at positions 524 to 777 of the family's 1533-position model. The record is from RNAcentral.
UACGUAGGGGGCAAGCGUUGUCCGGAAUCAUUGGGCGUAAAGCGCGUGUAGGUGGCAAGGCAAGUCGGGUGUGAAAGCCCUGGGCUCAACCCAGGAAGUGCACUCGAUACUGCCUCGCUAGAGUCCCGGAGAGGUUGGUGGAACUCUCGGUGUAGAGGUGAAAUUCGUAGAUAUCGAGAAGAACACCGGUGGCGAAGGCGGCCAACUGGACGGUGACUGACACUGAGACGCGAAAGCGUGGGGAGCAAACAGGG